AGCGGCGGACGGGUGAGUAAUGCCUGGGAAUAUGCCCUGAUGUGGGGGAUAACUAUUGGAAACGAUAGCUAAUACCGCAUAAUCUCUUCGGAGCAAAGAGGGGGACCUUCGGGCCUCUCGCGUCAGGAUUAGCCCAGGUGGGAUUAGCUUGUUAGUGAGGUAAUGGCUCACCAAGGCAACGAUCCCUAGCUGGUCUGAGAGGAUGAUCAGCCACACUGGAACUGAGACACGGUCCAGACUCCUACGGGAGGCAGCAGUGGGGAAUAUUGCGCAAUGGGGGAAACCCUGAUGCAGCCAUGCCGCGUGUGUGAAGAAGGCCUUCGGGUUGUAAAGCACUUUCAGUAGGGAGGAAGGUAGUGUAGUUAACACCUGCAUUAUUUGACGUUACCUACAGAAGAAGCACCGGCUAACUCCGUGCCAGCAGCCGCGGUAAUACGGAGGGUGCGAGCGUUAAUCGGAAUUACUGGGCGUAAAGCGCAUGCAGGCGGCCUGUUAAGUCAGAUGUGAAAGCCCGGGGCUUAACCUCGGAAUUGCAUUUGAAACUGGCAGG
This 550-nucleotide ribosomal RNA is filed under the name uncultured bacterium. RNAcentral describes it as "bacterial SSU rRNA". It matches the Rfam family "Bacterial small subunit ribosomal RNA", at positions 94 to 640 of the family's 1533-position model. The record is from RNAcentral.